Molecule: ribosomal RNA, 253 nt
Filed under: uncultured bacterium
Lineage: Bacteria
Description: partial 16S ribosomal RNA
Rfam family: Bacterial small subunit ribosomal RNA
Source: RNAcentral
UACGUAGGGGGCUAGCGUUGUCCGGAAUCAUUGGGCGUAAAGCGCGCGUAGGCGGCCAGAUAAGUCCGGUGUGAAAGCCACAGGCUCAACCUGUGAAUGCCGCUGGAAACUGUCUGGCUAGAGUCCGGAAGGGGCGAGUGGAAUUCCUGGUGUAGCGGUGAAAUGCGCAGAUAUCAGGAGGAACACCAAUGGCGAAGGCAGCUCGCUGGGACGGUACUGACGCUGAGGCGCGAAAGCGUGGGGAGCGAACAGG